GGAAAGUUGCAAAGUACUUUGAAGAGAGAGUUCAAGAGGACGUGAAACCGGUAGGGUGGAAGCAGAUAAAGUUGACGAACGUGUGUCGUAUUCAGAACUACAAUUUGUGGUUUGUUUUUACGAUCGAUGUGGGCUGGCGUCUUUGGUUAACUUAGUGUCUGGCGGCAAUGGUGACCCUGCGGAGGGAUACUCGGUUGUCGUGCGAUGCUUGGUAUGGCUAGAGGUUCGCUGGUUUUAUAGUCAUCGCUUUAUCUGACCCGUCUUGAAACACGGACCAAGGAGUGUACCGCUUACGCGAGUCUUAAAGUGUGUCAAAACUUUGAGGCGUAACGAAAGUAAAUGUGGAUUUAUUCACUGACUUGGGAUACGUUGUCUUUUUUGGAUAGCGUUGGACCAUGGUUUUAUCGUAAUCGCUUGCGAUGCGGUGAAAAUAGAGCGUAAGCGGUGCGACCCGAAA
This 457-nucleotide ribosomal RNA is filed under the name Steinernema carpocapsae. Its description in RNAcentral is "partial 28S ribosomal RNA". It matches the Rfam family "Eukaryotic large subunit ribosomal RNA", at positions 358 to 821 of the family's 3401-position model. The record is from RNAcentral. Lineage: Eukaryota; Metazoa; Nematoda; Chromadorea; Rhabditida; Steinernematidae.